RNAcentral lists this ribosomal RNA (1437 nucleotides) under uncultured organism. Its description in RNAcentral is "SSU rRNA". It matches the Rfam family "Bacterial small subunit ribosomal RNA". The record is from RNAcentral.
ACAGGCUUAACACAUGCAAGUCGAGGGGCAGCAUGGUCUUAGCUUGCUAAGGCCGAUGGCGACCGGCGCACGGGUGAGUAACACGUAUCCAACCUGCCGUCUACUCUCGGACAGCCUUCUGAAAGGAAGAUUAAUACAAGAUGGCAUCAUGAGUCCACAUGUUCACAUGAUUAAAGGUAUUCCGGUAGACGAUGGGGAUGCGUUCCAUUAGAUAGUAGGCGGGGUAACGGCCCACCUAGUCUUCGAUGGAUAGGGGUUCUGAGAGGAAGGUCCCCCACAUUGGAACUGAGACACGGUCCAAACUCCUACGGGAGGCAGCAGUGAGGAAUAUUGGUCAAUGGGCGCAGGCCUGAACCAGCCAAGUAGCGUGAAGGAUGACUGCCCUAUGGGUUGUAAACUUCUUUUAUAAAGGAAUAAAGUCGGGUAUGCAUACCCGUUUGCAUGUACUUUAUGAAUAAGGAUCGGCUAACUCCGUGCCAGCAGCCGCGGUAAUACGGAGGAUCCGAGCGUUAUCCGGAUUUAUUGGGUUUAAAGGGAGCGUAGAUGGAUGUUUAAGUCAGUUGUGAAAGUUUGCGGCUCAACCGUAAAAUUGCAGUUGAUACUGGAUAUCUUGAGUGCAGUUGAGGCAGGCGGAAUUCGUGGUGUAGCGGUGAAAUGCUUAGAUAUCACGAAGAACUCCGAUUGCGAAGGCAGCCUGCUAAGCUGCAACUGACAUUGAGGCUCGAAAGUGUGGGUAUCAAACAGGAUUAGAUACCCUGGUAGUCCACACGGUAAACGAUGAAUACUCGCUGUUUGCGAUAUACAGCAAGCGGCCAAGCGAAAGCGUUAAGUAUUCCACCUGGGGAGUACGCCGGCAACGGUGAAACUCAAAGGAAUUGACGGGGGCCCGCACAAGCGGAGGAACAUGUGGUUUAAUUCGAUGAUACGCGAGGAACCUUACCCGGGCUUAAAUUGCAGAUGAAUUACGGUGAAAGCCGUAAGCCGCAAGGCAUCUGUGAAGGUGCUGCAUGGUUGUCGUCAGCUCGUGCCGUGAGGUGUCGGCUUAAGUGCCAUAACGAGCGCAACCCUUGUUGUCAGUUACUAACAGGUUCCGCUGAGGACUCUGACAAGACUGCCAUCGUAAGAUGUGAGGAAGGCGGGGAUGACGUCAAAUCAGCACGGCCCUUACGUCCGGGGCUACACACGUGUUACAAUGGGGGGUACAGAGGGCCGCUACCACGCGAGUGGAUGCCAAUCCCAAAAACCUCUCUCAGUUCGGACUGGAGUCUGCAACCCGACUCCACGAAGCUGGAUUCGCUAGUAAUCGCGCAUCAGCCACGGCGCGGUGAAUACGUUCCCGGGCCUUGUACACACCGCCCGUCAAGCCAUGGGAGCCGGGGGGUACCUGAAGUGCGUAACCGCGAGGAGCGCCCUAGGGUAAAACUGGUGACUGGGGCU